RNAcentral lists this ribosomal RNA (494 nucleotides) under uncultured bacterium. Its description in RNAcentral is "partial 16S ribosomal RNA". It matches the Rfam family "Bacterial small subunit ribosomal RNA", at positions 28 to 507 of the family's 1533-position model. The record is from RNAcentral.
GACGAACGCUGGCGGCGUGCUUAACACAUGCAAGUCGAACGGUGACGCGCCUUCCUUUUUGGUGGGUGUGGAUGAGUGGCGAACGGGUGAGUAACACGUGAGUAACCUGCCCCCUUCUUCUGGAUAACCGCAUGAAAGUGUGGCUAAUACGGGAUAUUCUGGGUCUGUCGCAUGAUGGGUCUGGGAAAGAUAUUGUUUCGGUGGGGGAUGGGCUCGCGGCCUAUCUGGUUGUUGGUGGGGUGAUGGCCUACCAAGGCGGUGACGGGUAGCCGGCCUGGGGGGAUCGACGGUCACGGUGGGGCGGCAACGCGGACCCGACUACUGCGGGAGGCAGCAGGGAAGAUUCCUGCACGGUGGGCAGAAGGAUGGUGCAGCGCCGCCGCGGGGGGGAUGGUGUCCUGCGGGUUGUGAACCGCUUUCGGCAGUGAAGCAGGCCUGCCUCGUUUGUGGGUGGGUUGACGGUAGCUGGAUAAGAAGCGCCGGCUAACUACGUG